UCCUAAACCUGAUUGCAGCGGCAUCCUUUUAGCUGUAAUUCUGAGCGCAGCGACGGAACAGCUAAAAGAUACAGCGUAAAGCAGGAAGAAAC
RNAcentral lists this small RNA (92 nucleotides) under Pedobacter sp. Leaf194. Its description in RNAcentral is "Flavo-1 RNA". It matches the Rfam family "Flavo-1 RNA". Lineage: Bacteria; Pseudomonadati; Bacteroidota; Sphingobacteriia; Sphingobacteriales; Sphingobacteriaceae. The record is from Rfam by way of RNAcentral.